GAUUGCAGGUUGGAGUCUUUGUGGAAGCGUGUGUCUAAGUCCCUUGGAACAGGGUGCCAUUGAGGGUGAGAGCCCCGUGAGACGCGUGCGGAAGCUGUAAGGCCCUUCUGACGAGUCGAGUUGUUUGGGAAUGCAGCUCUAAGUGGGUGGUAAAUUCCAUCUAAGGCUAAAUAUUGGCGAGAGACCGAUAGCGAACAAGUACUGUGAAGGAAAGAUGAAAAGCACUUUGAAAAGAGAGUGAAACAGCACGUGAAAUUGUUGAAAGGGAAGGGUAUUGGGCUCGACAUGGGAUUUGCGCACCGCUGCUCCUUGUGGGCGGCGCUCUGUGCUUUUCCUGGGCCAGCAUCGGUUUUUGCCGCAGGAGAAGGCGUGCUGGAAUGUGGCUCUUCGGAGUGUUAUAGCCAGUGCGAGAUGCUGCGUGCGGGG
Molecule: ribosomal RNA, 426 nt
Filed under: Pichia occidentalis
Lineage: Eukaryota; Fungi; Ascomycota; Pichiomycetes; Pichiales; Pichiaceae
Description: partial large subunit ribosomal RNA
Rfam family: Eukaryotic large subunit ribosomal RNA
Source: RNAcentral